This 464-nucleotide ribosomal RNA is filed under the name Philautus petersi (Peter's bubble-nest frog). Its description in RNAcentral is "partial 16S ribosomal RNA". It matches the Rfam family "Bacterial large subunit ribosomal RNA", at positions 1923 to 2571 of the family's 2925-position model. Lineage: Eukaryota; Metazoa; Chordata; Amphibia; Anura; Rhacophoridae. The record is from RNAcentral.
UUUAACGGCCACGGUAUCCUAACCGUGCGAAGGUAGCAUAAUCACUUGCUCUUUAAAUAGGGGCUAGUAUCAACGGCAUCACGAGAAUCAUACUGUCUCCUCCCCCUAAUCAGUGAAACUGAUCCCCCCGUGAAGAGGCGGGGAUAAAAAUAUAAGACGAGAAGACCCCAUGGAGCUUUAAACCCUCAGUAACUUAGUUACAUACUUCCCCACAACUGCAAAGUGUACCCAAAGGUUUUAGGCUGGGGUGACCGCGGAGUAAAAACCAUCCUCCACGAUGUAAUAUCUAUGAAUCACCUUUCUAAGAAUUGAAACUUUAACAUAUAAUGACCCGAUAAUCGAUCAACGGACCAAGUUACCCUGGGGAUAACAGCGCAAUCUACUUCAAGAGCCCAUAUCGACAAGUAGGCUUACGACCUCGAUGUUGGAUCAGGGCACCCCAGCGGUGCAGCCGCUGCUAACGG